AUCAAUAUAGGACACGUUAUAAUCAUACAUAGUGUAUAGUUAUUAUACUUGUACCUCAAGAGUAAUAUUUGAACAAAACAUUAUCUUAUCUGUCGUAUUCGUCAACGUUCUUCGAAUUAUUUUUUUAAUUGGCCACCGACGGCACCAAUAGUGUGUGUGGUGUGUGUGUACUAUCAUCGUGUCGAUUUAUAUUUUGUCGUCGGCGUACGUGAUUUACGAUAGUAAAUAGCAAUCGUACAUAAAAAAAAAAACGUAAUUAAGAAAAAUACAACAUAUUCACGCCCGAAUAGCUAUAGCUAGUUCUGUCAAACCGCUACCAUCAAAGUUUUUUGUAUAAAUCUCGAUAACCUACUGGAAAACAUUUUUCAGCGUUUGGACUUGAUUACGUUUUGUUUUUGCAAUUUUGAGCUGACUCGACUGUUUUUUUAAAUUUUAUGAACGCCCAAAAAAACUGGAAACAAUAACCAUGUCAUCCGAAUACUCUUUAGUGCCAACUGUAGAAGAUCCAGUGUCCAGGCCGACCGAGACGACGGGCCUUUCCCGGAAAGUAGAAUACGUCGAAAAAGUACACAUUCCUGAAACUCAGUCGGUCGGCUUUAGCUUUCGUAAACUAUGGGCAUUUACGGGACCAGGUUUUCUAAUGAGCAUUGCAUAUCUCGAUCCCGGAAAUAUUGAAUCGGACUUACAGUCUGGAACUCAGGCUAAAUAUAAACUAUUAUGGAUUCUAAUGAGCGCGACCGUGUUGGGCCUUGUGAUGCAAAGGUUGUCUGCCCGUUUAGGUGUGGUCACGGGCUAUCACCUUGCCGAUAUGUGUUACCGCCAGUACAGACGGUUUCCCAGGUUGUUCGUCUGGCUCAUGAUGGAAGUAGCCAUAAUAGGAUCAGACAUGCAAGAAGUCAUCGGCACUUCUAUUGCAAUAUAUUUACUAAGUAAUAAAAUGAUACCGCUUUGGGUAGGAGUGUUGAUCACCAUCAUUGACACAUUAUCUUUUUUGAUGCUGGAUAAGUACGGACUGCGAAAAUUAGAACUAGUAUUUGGUCUGUUCAUUGUUAUUAUGGCAUUGUCGUUUGGAUACGAAUUUGCAGUCGUCAAACCAGAAAUCAAUGAAAUGGCCAAAGGAUUAGUAACUCCGUGGUGUUCAAACUGCAAAGAAUCAGCUCUUCUCCAGGCUGUUGGCAUUAUCGGCGCUAUUAUUAUGCCACACAAUCUAUACUUGCACUCAGGUUUAGUAAAGUCGAGAGAAGUAGAUAGGACAAAAAAGGACAAACUUAAAGAAGCAAACUUCUACUUUUUUAUCGAAUCCUGUGUAGCACUUUUUGUGUCAUUCGUUAUCAACGUAUGCGUCACAUCUGUUUUUGCUCACGGUUUGUAUGAAAAAACAAACAGCGAUGUGUAUGGUGUAUGCACUAGGAACAACAAUCCAUUUGCUGAUGUUUUUGCAAACAAUACCAAACAAGUAGAUGUAGACAUAUACAAGGGUGGAAUAUUCCUCGGCUGUCAAUUUGGCUUGGGCGCCAUGUACAUUUGGGCAAUCGGUAUUUUAGCUGCUGGUCAGAGUAGUACAAUGACCGGCUGUUACGCUGGUCAAUUUGUAAUGGAAGGUUUUUUGAAUCUUCAAUGGAGUCGAUGGAAAAGAGUGGCUUUCACACGGUUAGUCGCUAUUGCACCAACAUUUUAUGUGGCAUUCUUUAGCAAUAUCGAAGAACUGAGUGGCAUGAAUGAUUUGCUUAACGCUGUAAUGAGCUUGCAGUUACCAUUCGCUACUUUACCCGUUAUAGCUUUUACAAGCAAUCCUCAUAUCAUGGGAGAAUUCACUAACGGACUAGUCAACAAAGUAGUGACACUUCUGCUGUCUAUUACAAUUAUAAGUAUAAAUAUAUAUUUUGUGAUGUAUUUGUCGAUACAAAAUCUAUCUUUCAAUAUAUACCUAAUGACCGGAGUCUAUUUGUAUAGCGCAAUUUAUCUAUUAAUGUGUGGCUAUCUCGCGUUACAUCUGACAGUCAGCAUGAUGGGAGACUGUAGUGUCUGGCAUAGAAAUAAAUUAAUUUGUAAGUUAUUCGGUACAAAAAUCACUAGUCAUCACAAUCACCAUCAAGAACCCAAUUCGUUACCAAGUCAAGAUGACUUACCCGGUUUCAAGAUGUAUUCUUAAAAUGGUACUCAAUACCUGUACAAAACGGACGGUACUUAACUCGAUAGUAUUAAGCAAAAAUCAUUCUAUACAAGAAUAGAAGCCCGUGAGAUUGAGUAUUCAGAAUUUUCGAUAGAAAAUCUUUAUUUUUUUAAAAAUGUAGUACUGAAAUAGAUUUUACUAAUACGAUAAAAACUAAAAUUGGUCGUUAUUUUCAACCUUACAGUUGAAAGUUAUAUUUUUCUAUUUAUCUAAUUUGUAUUUUUUUAUUGUUGAACUUAAUCUUGAAAAUGUAUAUUACGUUUUUAUGAUGAACACAAUUCCAUUCGAAUUUUUAAACAUAUUAAUUGUAAUUUCACUGAAUAAUAUCUAUUUGGUCACGAUAUUAUUCCAUAAUAUUAUAUAUUAAUAUAUAGUGUUCCUGUUGACGUUUAAAAACUAGUUUAUAUAGAUUUUACCAAUUAAAAUUGAGAAUAAUUAUGCCAAUACGUUGUUUAUUUUGUUUUUAACUAUAACGUCCAAUUAUUAUAUUUAAUGUGAUAGUAAUAUGUUUGCUAAAAAUAUAUAUAUUUUCUUUUUAAGAUUUAUUUUUGUUAUAAAUUAUUACAAUUAUAGGACGUUACCUAUAAUUAUUUAAUUAUUGUUCGUAAUGUUUUUUUUAUUGUACCUUUAGGUUAAUUGUUG
Adelges cooleyi (spruce gall adelgid) is the source of this 2815-nucleotide RNA transcript. It is a transcript of the gene named protein Malvolio, with no coding region annotated. The record is from RefSeq and is a predicted model, not a curated record. NCBI's taxonomy places the organism in Eukaryota, Metazoa, Arthropoda, Insecta, Hemiptera, Adelgidae. The transcript has 14 exons.